This 427-nucleotide long non-coding RNA is filed under the name Mytilus galloprovincialis (Mediterranean mussel). Lineage: Eukaryota; Metazoa; Mollusca; Bivalvia; Mytilida; Mytilidae. The record is from RNAcentral.
AGACACAAAGAUUACAGAGUGUAAAAUAAUUCAAACAAGAUAACCAACUAUCAAUGAUUCCUCUUAAACCAGCCAACUCACUGAAACUAAACAUAAAAGCCAAUUACAGUCAUAUUCACAAUAGGUACUAUUUUGGGUCAACAGGGAAUUCAAAAUACCAUCAAAGGCAAUGAAAGUCAACAUGAAAACUCAAUAGCUAUAGUAUAUUGACUUUAGUUUAAUUUUCAUCUACACUGCUACUUUUGCAUGGGUACAAAUCAAGUACUGUAAAAUACAGAUACAUGUACCUAAAUAUUACAAUAAUUUAAAGUAACACAAUAGCACUGAAAAUUAAAAGUAGUACUACAGAUUUUUUGUACAAGAAUAGUAUGCAAAAGUAGCUGUGUAGGUUUAAUACACAUGGUUUCAGUUUUCAAGAAUAUAUGAA